UAUCCCUGGAGAAGGAUCGCUUGAUCACCUUUUCUUUCGUUUGUUUUCUUUUAAUCUUCUUCCUCUCUUCUCCUCCAUUUUCAAGAAGGGACUAUCGACACUUCGCUAACACGUUUAACUUUUCUGUUUGGAUCUUUUCACUUUUGCGGAGUUUUUUUCUCCCGGAGCUUUUCCGUAAACUUUGCCCUUCACUGACGCCUAUGAUGUAAAAGACAUCCCUCAUUGCGUUAUUCAUGUUCUCUCGUGGUUGGUCUCUUUUUGCCAAUAAUUUCUUUAGCUUAAAAUUUUGCGUCUUUCCUCCCUCUCUCCCCACUGUUUUCAUUCUCCUUUCUCCAGAAGUGUCUGUUCCUCCCUUACUCAACACCCAUCACUGUCCACAGGCGUCGUCUCCUCCAUCCUCGAGAUUGGUGUGCGUCGCAGACAUUACAUCAGCGGGCCCAAGCGACCUACCUUGUCAGACCCUUCUCACCCCCACCGACCCCCACCAAGGAGCGUACUGAGGCGCCCGGAACUAGUAUGCUCUGGCACAGCCUGGAGGGCGUGGCUGUCACUCCUGCAUCCCAGAUUCCUGACCUGGCGCAGUCUGGAAGGUGUGGCUGUCAUUCCUGCAUCCCAGAUUCCUGCCCUGGCACAGCCUGGAGGGCGUGGCUGUCACUCCUGCAUCCCAGAUUCCUGCCAGUCUCUCCACCACGGGGACGUUGUGCAUGUAUUACAUAAAUUAGUUUUAGGCUAUCAAAAUUUUCGUAAAUCAGACAUGCUCAAAUUGGGAGAUUAGUUUAGACCCGUAAAUUUAACCUUGAAAAAAUCUGUCUGCAGGUGCAGACUAGAAACGUCUCCCAGAAGAGAGCUUCGGAAUAGAAGACCAUCACCGCACCUGGAGGCUUCUCUACUCAUCUGUCUCUCCCAAUGGUGUUAUAAGUUUAUGGUGUAUCUCCGAAGCCUCCACAUUCACCGCGUGAUGGACGAUGUGGGUUCGAAUCCCCACGCUACCACCUGGGAUUUUUCAGUCACCGCUGAGUGGCCUAAGACUACCCAUCCUGGCAGUACCCAGAGAUCGACGAUAAAGAGCACCCGAACUCUAGAGGAAACCGUCCAAGUGAAUCAAGAAGGAGUUCCGGGGGGCAGCAUGAGCCAAUGCAGGAUGGCACCACUAUAAACACUUGCCUGCACCACAACGGGCUGGGGCCAACCAUCAGGCCCCACUACAAAGGCCUACCGGCGCCAUAGACGAAGAUGUAAAAAAAAAUAUUUUGUCAAAAUACCAAA
Eriocheir sinensis (Chinese mitten crab) is the source of this 1266-nucleotide long non-coding RNA. RefSeq lists it as uncharacterized. The transcript has 3 exons. The record is from RefSeq and is a predicted model, not a curated record. NCBI's taxonomy places the organism in Eukaryota, Metazoa, Arthropoda, Malacostraca, Decapoda, Varunidae.